CCUGGCUCAGGACGAACGCUGGCGGCGCGCCUAACACAUGCAAGUCGAACGAGCAAGAGAGAGCUUGCUUUCUCGAGCGAGUGGCGAACGGGUGAGUAACGCGUGAGGAACCUGCCUCAAAGAGGGGGACAACAGUUGGAAACGACUGCUAAUACCGCAUAAGCCCACGGGUCGGCAUCGACCAGAGGGAAAAGGAGCAAUCCGCUUUGAGAUGGCCUCGCGUCCGAUUAGCUAGUUGGUGAGGUAAUGGCCCACCAAGGCGACGAUCGGUAGCCGGACUGAGAGGUUGAACGGCCACAUUGGGACUGAGACACGGCCCAGACUCCUACGGGAGGCAGCAGUGGGGAAUAUUGCACAAUGGGGGAAACCCUGAUGCAGCGACGCCGCGUGGAGGAAGAAGGUCUUCGGAUUGUAAACUCCUGUUGUUGGGGAAGAUAAUGACGGUACCCAACAAGGAAGUGACGGCUAACUACGUGCCAGCAGCCGCGGUAAAACGUAGGUCACAAGCGUUGUCCGGAAUUACUGGGUGUAAAGGGAGCGCAGGCGGGAAGACAAGUUGGAAGUGAAAUCUAUGGGCUCAACCCAUAAACUGCUUUCAAAACUGUUUUUCUUGAGUAGUGCAGAGGUAGGCGGAAUUCCCGGUGUAGCGGUGGAAUGCGUAGAUAUCGGGAGGAACACCAGUGGCGAAGGCGGCCUACUGGGCACCAACUGACGCUGAGGCUCGAAAGUGUGGGUAGCAAACAGGAUUAGAUACCCUGGUAGUCCACACCGUAAACGAUGAUUACUAGGUGUUGGAGGAUUGACCCCUUCAGUGCCGCAGUUAACACAAUAAGUAAUCCACCUGGGGAGUACGACCGCAAGGUUGAAACUCAAAGGAAUUGACGGGGGCCCGCACAAGCAGUGGAGUAUGUGGUUUAAUUCGACGCAACGCGAAGAACCUUACCAAGUCUUGACAUCCCUUGACAGGCAUAGAAAUGUGUUUUCUCUUCGGAGCAAGGAGACAGGUGGUGCAUGGUUGUCGUCAGCUCGUGUCGUGAGAUGUUGGGUUAAGUCCCGCAACGAGCGCAACCCUUAUGGUCAGUUACUACGCAAGAGGACUCUGGCCAGACUGCCGUUGACAAAACGGAGGAAGGUGGGGAUGACGUCAAAUCAUCAUGCCCUUUAUGACUUGGGCUACACACGUACUACAAUGGCGUUAAACAAAGAGAAGCAAGACCGCGAGGUGGAGCAAAACUCAGAAACAACGUCCCAGUUCGGACUGCAGGCUGCAACUCGCCUGCACGAAGUCGGAAUUGCUAGUAAUCGUGGAUCAGCAUGCCACGGUGAAUACGUUCCCGGGCCUUGUACACACCGCC
This 1355-nucleotide ribosomal RNA is filed under the name uncultured bacterium. RNAcentral's name for it is "bacterial SSU rRNA". It matches the Rfam family "Bacterial small subunit ribosomal RNA", at positions 18 to 1394 of the family's 1533-position model. The record is from RNAcentral.